GCAUCAAAUAUUCUUCUUCUGUGUGCUCACUUCUGAACUUUUAGAGAACAAUAUCUCUUUUUAGGAUUCUUUCCAGAGUCUUAAAAGACAACCUUGUUUGUCUUGAUUCAAGAUAUCCAAAUCCAACACUCAACUUGACGGAAGAAGAUAGGAGAGGUAAACACGAGUGAUUGAAAGGGAAUGAUUUUUUUUUUCAUUAAC
RNAcentral lists this long non-coding RNA (201 nucleotides) under Carica papaya (papaya). RNAcentral describes it as "long non-coding RNA (CPAP_LNC009299)". The record is from RNAcentral. Lineage: Eukaryota; Viridiplantae; Streptophyta; Magnoliopsida; Brassicales; Caricaceae.